This 88-nucleotide microRNA precursor is filed under the name Canis lupus familiaris (dog). Its description in RNAcentral is "mir-8799 microRNA precursor family". It matches the Rfam family "mir-8799 microRNA precursor family". RNAcentral also lists the same sequence under 1 other name. Lineage: Eukaryota; Metazoa; Chordata; Mammalia; Carnivora; Canidae. The record is from Rfam by way of RNAcentral.
GGGGGGAGGCUGGAUCCUGGGUUGUGUCCCGGCACCCAGUGCUCAGGGCCUGCGCCGUUGGAUUCUUGCUCCCGGCCCGCAGCCCCCU